UUUUCUCCUGGGAAGCUGAGACACCUCAGAGAAAAGGAAAACAAUUCCUAUCUCAUUUGCUUCUCCUGUGUUGUGCUCAUGUGGAAUGUGUUUGGAGAUUGUUUACCCACAAGUGAUUGUUCCAUUGGAUUCUUCUGUGAGAUGUUUUCACUCUUUGGCCAAUCAGGGCCAGGCUGCAUUGGGACUCUGGAGAGAGUAAGAAGUUUUCAUUAUCAUCUUUUUAGCAUUCAAUGCAGGAGAAGGAAAGGCAAAAACCAAUAAAGGUAGUUCAGUCAGAUGAUCCUACAUACAUGGAACACGUUUGACAGGUGGAAGCUGCCAUGGCAAACAGAGUUUGAGCUGUGCCUUUAGAGACUCUGCCCCCAGAGUGCUCAAGUGACUGUGUUUGAAAUCCCCUGGGGUCUUGGGCAGUAUUAAGUCUUAUGAAGUGUCUCAUACAAAAACCACGGAAAAAUUUUUCAGUGUUAGUAAAAUGCAGUGAUCUAGCCCCAGCUGCUGUCCACCAAGGCACAGUGGAGUGGAGUUAUCAACAAAUCCAGGUGUUUGGGAAAACUGUCUGAUUUUCUGCAUCGUGAUUUGGUUUGAAAUGUCUGUGUACUUCUGCUGCUUAACCUUUUCCUGCCAAAUGGAAAACACCCCAAAGUCACUCUCCCUGUAUUGAAGAAAAGCCUGUCAAUUAAAUGAAUGCAUUAAUGGCAACAAAAGCAGGGCCUGUCAAUUACUAGGAGCAUUAAUUAUUACAUUAAUAAUGACAUCGUUUAAAUUGUUCUAAAGGCAUAUUGGACAUUACAAUUCAUUAGUUUCAUUUCAGGUUUCAGGCAUGUGUGCUAAUUGAAUUAUACAUAUUUUGGCAUAGCUGAAUUCCUAUUAUGUUUCCAUUCCACCUAGUUCUCAUCUGUCUUUCCUGAAAAAAAUUAAAUAUUGCCAUAAAGGACAAUCUUUUGAAGCUGAAUAUUAAAUUAUGUAUUACACUGCAAACUGAACUGCAUAGUGAUAGAAAAAUUCUAAUUUUUCCAUAUUGUGAUUUUGAAACUCUGCAUAGUUUUCCCCUAGUGCUCUGCAUAUCAUGUUUGGUUUUUUUUUUUCCAUUGUGAAACAUCGAAUUAAAUAAUAAAUUAAAAUACAUUAUUA
Molecule: long non-coding RNA, 1131 nt
Organism: Passer domesticus (house sparrow)
Lineage: Eukaryota; Metazoa; Chordata; Aves; Passeriformes; Passeridae
Exons: 3
Source: RefSeq, a predicted model, not a curated record